RNAcentral lists this long non-coding RNA (1888 nucleotides) under Anneissia japonica. Its description in RNAcentral is "uncharacterized LOC117104871". The record is from RNAcentral. Lineage: Eukaryota; Metazoa; Echinodermata; Crinoidea; Comatulida; Comatulidae.
GGGAAGUUUGGAUCACGUAGCAUCUGUGUUGACGUAACCUUCUUGAACUCGGAUAGGCAGUGGCAAGAGGGAAAAUACCACAGGCAAACAUACUAGCAACACGCUGUACGCAUACAUGUGCAUUUAUGUACACACGUGUCAUACACAGACGAUACUCCUGCGGGCUGACGUAGCACUUUCAGUAACCGAAAGUGGUGCGCCCGGUCAAUCAUCUACUGCAAUUUAACAUUGCUAUUCAAACAAACGCCACUGUCAAUAUUGGAAGAUGGCCGUUCGAAUGUUUGGUCACGUGGAUUAAACUAAUAAUUAGUCCCGGUACCCUGCUAACACUAAACAUACAACAGUCUGAGGAUACGCUACUGGAAAAGUUACAACCAAACGGUUGCAGCCGAUUGAUGGUUGGCGAAGGCAAAGCUCAAUACAAAGAUAAGAUACAUAAAUGUUUCACCCUAGUCAUUGGAAAUCAAUCCACAUGAAGAAGAGUGUAAGAAACUACAAAAGGCGCCAAGAAUGUUAAAUACCAGCAUCCUACGCCUACACAAUCAAAAAUGAAAAUAAAUUUAUGCUACUGACGCCAUGGUGCCUGAGUGGUCAACAUGUUAACAUUUUGAAAAUUUGAACAAAUAAAUAAUGGUACAUGUCUUCCAAACGCAUUUUUUUUAAUUAGCACUAUAUUUACAGUAGGUCUAGAAUAACUGUACUAUCAUCAACGGCUGAUUUAUAUUAAUGGACAACUGAGCCCAAGACGGCAACAAUCCAAGAGGGACCCAGGCAGCUGGCGGCUCUUGUGCCUCGCCUUCUAAUAAAUGACAUUCUAUUAGGCCUAUUAGAAUCACUAAAUGUCAUUUGAUGUUUUAACAUGUAACACUGUUGAUCUAGACUGCUAAAAAUUUAGUUCAUGUUGCUUGUACCUUCAGGGCAUCAACUUUUUGACAUAAAAUCCAUUUACCACAAUUUGGAAAGCUGUCUACCACCCAACACAAAUACAUUUUGGGCUAAAAAUAUAAUGUAAAUCUAAUAAAUAGGUUUAUUUCAGAUACUGUGUAUGGAAAAUCUCAAGAAAAGUAUGUAUGUUGUAUGGACACACACAUACAAAUACAUUACAAAUGCGACAUACGCAUGCAUGCAUGUACACCCACGGAAAAAAAAAUCCUGCCAGAUAGGUCAACGAAAAAGCAAAUGGGACUAUUAUUAGUAGAUAUUUUGAAACAAUUAAAAAACUACAGCAUUCUCAAUGAUCAGUUCACUAUAAAUAUGCCUACUAGUAAAUUCCUCCAUCAUUUCUUCACAAAUAUCAGUAUGUUAUUGAUUGUACAUUUAUCUAACUGUUUGCUAUUGUUGUGAAUUGAUGUCAGUGUAGUAGCUCAUAAAUUCUACACAAACUAUCUGAAAAUUGUAAAGUGAUUCAAGUCUGCUGACAUCAGCUAUUUUGGUGAAAGUUGAAACAACUUGUACCAGUGUCCUAGACUUUUUUUAAACAACACCUGUGGUACUGUUUCUUCCACCGCCUUCAUCCUCUAUUAACCAGAAAAAUAACAGCUGUAGCCUGUUACAGAAAAAAAAUUAAACUAUCAAGAAAAGACAUUCCUUUAAAAGAAAAUUCCUUUAGAUAUAUUUAUUUUAAAACUGCAUGAACAUUGAAGCUACAGUAUGACUGGUUUGUCUCCCUUGAGAGAAGGCCUACUGUGUAAAAGGUGUACUUAGAUACAGUGAACCUCUGGCUACAGGUUGAACACUUACAGCAGUCAGGAUAAAUCAAACCGCCCAAAAUAUUUAUAGAGUAGUACAGUGUUACGUCAUGAUACCACGUGAUACUACUCUGUUGCUAUCGUUGCAAAAAGCGUUCAACUGGAUGCCAUUUUCUUCACUGACAAACCAUUGAUCCCAA